AUUAAACGCUGGCGGCAUGCCUUACACAUGCAAGUCGAACGGCAGCACGGGGGCAACCCUGGUGGCGAGUGGCGAACGGGUGAGUAAGGCAUCGGAACGUGCCCUGGAGUGGGGGAUAACGUAGCGAAAGUUACGCUAAUACCGCAUAUUCUGUGAGCAGGAAAGCAGGGGAUCGCAAGACCUUGCGCUCUGGGAGCGGCCGAUGUCGGAUUAGCUAGUUGGUGGGGUAAAGGCCUACCAAGGCGACGAUCCGUAGCGGGUCUGAGAGGAUGAUCCGCCACACUGGGACUGAGACACGGCCCAGACUCCUACGGGAGGCAGCAGUGGGGAAUUUUGGACAAUGGGCGAAAGCCUGAUCCAGCCAUGCCGCGUGAGUGAAGAAGGCC
Molecule: ribosomal RNA, 386 nt
Filed under: uncultured bacterium
Lineage: Bacteria
Description: bacterial SSU rRNA
Rfam family: Bacterial small subunit ribosomal RNA
Source: RNAcentral